Molecule: ribosomal RNA, 159 nt
Filed under: uncultured bacterium
Lineage: Bacteria
Description: partial 16S ribosomal RNA
Rfam family: Bacterial small subunit ribosomal RNA
Source: RNAcentral
UGGGGAAUAUUGCACAAUGGGCGAAAGCCUGAUGGAGCGACGCCGCGUGGGGGAUGAAGGGCUUCGGUCCGUAAACCCCUGUCAUUUGCGAACAAUGCUCAUGACCUAACACGUCAUGAGUUGAUAGUAGCAAAAGAGGAAGGGACGGCUAACUCUGUG